This 253-nucleotide ribosomal RNA is filed under the name uncultured bacterium. Its description in RNAcentral is "partial 16S ribosomal RNA". It matches the Rfam family "Bacterial small subunit ribosomal RNA", at positions 524 to 776 of the family's 1533-position model. The record is from RNAcentral.
UACGUAGGGUGCAAGCGUUAUCCGGAAUUAUUGGGCGUAAAGAGCUCGUAGGCGGUUUGUUGCGUCGGCUGUGAAAUCCCGAGGCUCAACCUCGGGUCUGCAGUCGAUACGAGCAAACUAGAGUGUUGCAGGGGAGACUGGAAUUCCUGGUGUAGCGGUGAAAUGCGCAGAUAUCAGGAGGAACACCGGUGGCGAAGGCGGGUCUCUGGGCCGAUACUGACGCUGAGGAGCGAAAGCGUGGGGAGCGAACAGG